GACGAACGCUGGCGGCGUGCCUAAUACAUGCAAGUUGAGCGCUGAAGGUUGGUACUUGUACCGACUGGAUGAGCAGCGAACGGGUGAGUAACGCGUGGGGAAUCUGCCUUUGAGCGGGGGACAACAUUUGGAAACGAAUGCUAAUACCGCAUAAAAACUUUAAACACAAGUUUUAAGUUUGAAAGAUGCAAUUGCAUCACUCAAAGAUGAUCCCGCGUUGUAUUAGCUAGUUGGUGAGGUAAAGGCUCACCAAGGCGAUGAUACAUAGCCGACCUGAGAGGGUGAUCGGCCACAUUGGGACUGAGACACGGCCCAAACUCCUACGGGAGGCAGCAGUAGGGAAUCUUCGGAAAUGGACGAAAGUCUGACCGAGCAACGCCGCGGGAGUGAAGAAGGUUUUCGGAUCGUAAAACUCUGUUGGUAGAGAAGAACGUUGGUGAGAGUGGAAAGCUCAUCAAGUGACGGUAACUACCCAGAAAGGGACGGCUAACUACGUG
This 497-nucleotide ribosomal RNA is filed under the name uncultured bacterium. RNAcentral describes it as "partial 16S ribosomal RNA". It matches the Rfam family "Bacterial small subunit ribosomal RNA", at positions 28 to 507 of the family's 1533-position model. The record is from RNAcentral.